RNAcentral lists this small nucleolar RNA (121 nucleotides) under Echinops telfairi (small Madagascar hedgehog). RNAcentral describes it as "Small nucleolar RNA SNORA61 (ENSETEG00000024260.1)". Lineage: Eukaryota; Metazoa; Chordata; Mammalia; Afrosoricida; Tenrecidae. The record is from RNAcentral.
AACCUCCAGUAUCCUUAACCCUCUGAUCUAAACAUUAGCCUGAGUGGCUGUAAAAGGAGGAAAAGUAAAACUGAAACAGACUUGAAUUCUUUUAUGACAUACAAGUUGGUUUCAAAUAAUA